UCGCCCGUUCCUUGUUCCCCAGGGACCCACGAGAGCGGUUGGCGGGCGGCCGCCUCGGCCUGGCAGCGAGGCCCAGCCUGGCGCGGAGAAGCCUGCCGUCUAGUCCCUGCGUCCCUGCGUUUUACAUAAUUAGAGGGGACACAGAGCUGCGAGGCCCCCGAACAAACCCAGCUCUCAGCUCAUGGCAGUGCCAACUGUCCUGUUCAAAGGACAAAUGCUGAACUUCUUUCUUGGCUGGUGACAAUAUUUACGUUUAAGAUCAAGAUGAUGACUAUCUGAAGAACUCCCCUGGAAGCUCUCCUCACAACUAGAAAAACACAGCAGCCGGUUUGCAGAGCCGAAUUCUGGGCCAAAAAUAACGGCGCGCCAGGCCAGGAGACUGAGUCACCAGGAGGAGCUGUCGGCCACUGUCAGUGGAUGGGUCUCGGUUUCAUAAAAAAGCAGCCUGAACCACGAGGGACAUGUUCCCAGACAACAGAGAAAAGCUCUGGGCCCAGCGGAGGUGAAAACCAGCCUACUGAGCAUCCCAGGACUGUCCCUGCGUGUCAUUCAUUCUGGAGAGACCUCUGUGCCCCAGCCCUGGGCCUCCCUCAGACUUUCCUCUUCAGCACCCUGGGCCCAAGCCCCAUGCCGGGCCAUGGUUUCAGCUGCCCGGCGGUCCCUGCUUUCCAAACAGGGUGCCCACAUCUCUGCUGUGGAAACUUCUUUUAGGAAAGGGCGCGGGCUGGAGAGGAUUGGUCUGCGAGGGGAGAGCCCGGCGUGGGGCGAAUUCACUGCUGGGUGCCGGGCAAAGUCAGAGCCACCCGGGCUUUCGGAAGCGUCACGGUCACCUCGCAUCUGCGGAAGCGGCACCAGGCACGGCCGAAGCCGAGCCCCCAGGGUGUCCCUUGGUUGGUGAAUGACUACACGGCGCCAUCUCCUUUGCCAGGAACCUCUGAACCGAGAUGGUAUCUGGAAAUGAUUUGGGAGAUAAUUGUGCUGUUUCCUUAACAUGCAUCGCUUCCUGACAUCUUUCUCAGAGGCGAGAGGCUGUCGUCCCAGCGUCUGUUAAGCGGCGUGGUGAAUGCAGGUGCUCCAGUGUGACCAGGGGUCCCCGCUCUGGAAGGAAAGUGAAACCUGGGUGAACGCUGUGAAAGCCGGACAGCUUCCAGGGUCUUCCCGGUCAUUUUCAGGGAAGACGGCUCCAUAAACUCCUCAAGAUGAUGCUGACAAAGCAAAUCAGCUUAAAAGUAAAGAUAUCAUUCGGUUCCCCACUGCCCAGAAAACUAACUCAUUAGACCCCGAAAAGUUGGGGAAACACGGGCUGCAUCCAUCACUAGCAGGGGGAGAUGUCAGGAGAUGAGACUCCCAUCUGCCCGCCGCUCGCCAUGCUUUUCCCCUUGGGCGGCAUCAGCCCUUGAGCGUGGCCGGUGGUGUCGAGCAUCCCGGGGUGGAGGUGCCGGUGCCCGGACUCUGGCUUCAGCCAGUGGUUCCUCUGGCCUCUUCUGUGUAGUUGGUGAAUUUUAAAUGGGCGCCAUAUGUUCUUUUUUUGCAACCUCGGGAAAGGUUCCCUGGCCUUAGAGUAGUAGCAUGACCCACCACGAUUCCGAGUCAUUGCAUUUUUAUUUUACUAAAAAGGCCUUCUUUUGGGUUUUACAAAGAUAGUGCUAUUUCCAAACUCACCCUCAUAUUGCUACCGUUCCAGAGGGUGAAGGUAGGCUGACAGUUGGCAUAAUGAUAACAUUUUGGUUUUGUUGACGAUGUUUCAUGUCUAGGUUGUAACAUUUACAAAAUGCUGAUAUAUCCAUAUCCAAAGGCUGCUAUAUCAUUUAAGGAACUAACCAGUAACAAAGUGUGUGCCUUGUAUAGCAAAUAACCCUCCUUAAAGUUCUAUUUAUGGAGGACAGAAAACAGAGCUUUGAAAAACAACCCGGAAAAUUAAGUGUUUGGAAGACAUGAGGACAGCCAGAGGCCACCUCUGCCACCUACCUGCACUGGGGAGCCAGGCCAGCUGGGGAGGCCCCGGGGUGCGGGUUUGGAGUUCUACCCUUCCUGGAUGUCACGCCACAGCUCCAUUGGAAAGGACACCGAGACUUGCCCACAGCGAGGGCCUGCCCACGACUGAUGCCCACACACUGGAUCCCGCUCCCAGCAUGUGGGGAGGCCAAAGUGGAGAAAACUCGGUCUGUACCCAAGACAACACUCCGCAGACAGGCGGCCUGGGCUGGGAGAGCUAGCUCACCUUCCGGAUUCCUGUUCCAGUUGUCUUCACAGAAAUGUGGCGGGAAAGGAUGGUACCUCCUGCUUCCUCCAGAGACAUCCUGAGAUGGACAGGGACCAGUCUUUCCAGGAGGGACAGACGCUCCUCUGGACCCAGCCCAGGUGCUCAGUGUGACCCUCCCGUCUGGACCAGGUGCCCUCGAUGUAGGGGUGGAUGGUGAGGAAGGCCUGGCCCUGCCUCGCCCUUGGGAAGCCCGAGUCCAUCCAGGUAUGAGGGGAGAACCCUGGGAGGCUGGUGGCCUCAGAUGGCUCCAGGGUGUGGCGAGAGCACAGGGAAUGUCCCCCUCGAUCGCCUGGCAGGCAGGACGGGCUUUGCGAAGGGGUGAGCAUUUGGGCU
Long non-coding RNA from Miniopterus natalensis, 2596 nucleotides. RefSeq lists it as uncharacterized. NCBI's taxonomy places the organism in Eukaryota, Metazoa, Chordata, Mammalia, Chiroptera, Miniopteridae. The record is from RefSeq and is a predicted model, not a curated record.